UCCGGUUUGACACCGGCAGUCUCGCUAGAGUGCCCAGCAUAACCUGGUGGCAACUAGCGACAGGGGUUUCGCUCGUUAAGGGACUUAACCCGACACUUCACAGCACGAGCUGACGACAGCCAUGCAGCACCUGUGCAUGUUCCACUCUUGCGAGUGUCAUCCCGGUUUCCCGGGACUAAUCCAUGCAUGUCAAGCCUUGGAUAAGGUUCUUCGCGUUGCUUCGAAUUGAGCCACAUGCUCCACCGCUUGUGUGAGCCCCCGUCAAUUCCUUUGAGUUUUAGCCUUGCGACCGUACUCCCCAGGCGGCAUACUUAUCAAUUUUUCUUCGACCCGGAGGGCGUCAGAGCCUCCCGAAUCUAGUAUGCAUAGUUUAGGGCGUGGACUAC
Molecule: unclassified non-coding RNA, 386 nt
Filed under: uncultured Phycisphaeraceae bacterium
Lineage: Bacteria; Pseudomonadati; Planctomycetota; Phycisphaerae; Phycisphaerales; Phycisphaeraceae
Description: contains 16S-23S intergenic spacer region
Source: RNAcentral